This 254-nucleotide ribosomal RNA is filed under the name uncultured bacterium. RNAcentral describes it as "partial 16S ribosomal RNA". It matches the Rfam family "Bacterial small subunit ribosomal RNA", at positions 524 to 776 of the family's 1533-position model. The record is from RNAcentral.
UACGUAGGGGGCAAGCGUUGUCCGGAUUCAUUGGGCGUAAAGAGCUCGUAGGCGGUGUGUCGCGUCGGCCGUGAAAACCUGGGGCUCAACUCUGGGCGUGCGGUCGAUACGGGCAUCACUUGAGUUCGGCAGGGGAGACUGGAAUUCCUGGUGUAGCGGUGAAAUGCGCAGAUAUCAGGAGGAACACCGGUGGCGAAGGCGGGUCUCUGGGCCGAUACUGACGCUGAGGAGCGAAAGCAUGGGUAGCGAACAGG